This 253-nucleotide ribosomal RNA is filed under the name uncultured bacterium. RNAcentral describes it as "partial 16S ribosomal RNA". It matches the Rfam family "Bacterial small subunit ribosomal RNA", at positions 524 to 776 of the family's 1533-position model. The record is from RNAcentral.
UACGAAGGGUGCUAGCGUUGUUCGGAAUCACUGGGCGUAAAGCGCGCGUAGGCGGCUUUUCAAGUCAGGGGUGAAAUCCUGGGGCUUAACCCCAGAAUUGCCUUUGAAACUGUAAAGCUGGAGUGUCGGAGGGGAUAGCGGAAUUGCUAAUGUAGCGGUGAAAUGCGUAGAUAUUAGCAGGAACACCGGUGGCGAAGGCGGCUAUCUGGACGACAACUGACGCUGAGGCGCGAAAGCGUGGGGAUCAAACAGG